Molecule: long non-coding RNA, 258 nt
Organism: Trichoplusia ni (cabbage looper)
Lineage: Eukaryota; Metazoa; Arthropoda; Insecta; Lepidoptera; Noctuidae
Exons: 2
Source: RefSeq, a predicted model, not a curated record
CCGGCCCCGGCCCCGACCCCGGCCCCGGCCCCGGCCUGCACGACGCGCUCGUGCCCGACACGCACGACCUCAGCGCCACGCUCGUGCUGCACGACACGCUCACCGACAGAGCGCUGUGUCGCCAGGUGGUGCUGGUGUCGGUGCGGCCGGCUCAGUUAUGACGAGUGUAGCGGAUCACCUUGUACCUUAUAUUUAUUGUAAUAUGUAAUAUAUAUAUAUCACUACUCGUAAAUAAAAUAUUCAUAUGUGAUAUCUAGA